Molecule: long non-coding RNA, 1050 nt
Filed under: Salvator merianae (Argentine black and white tegu)
Lineage: Eukaryota; Metazoa; Chordata; Lepidosauria; Squamata; Teiidae
Description: lncRNA (ENSSMRG00000013148.1)
Source: RNAcentral
GUGAACCAUGAACCGACCAAAACAGUUUNGCACAUCUCUACUUAGGACGCCCGGGGACCGAAUUCCCAUUUGGUCAUGGAAAGUUACGUGGUAACAGAAGAACCUUAUGCAUUUCUUAUUUUCAGGCCUGUACUUAUUGGACAAGAGCGGCCAUUUUCCGACAAUGCUUCCGACAGAGAGCUGGUCUUGUUGGAGUUCGGAAGUUCCUGAAAAUGCCUCUUUCGUGGCCCAGUGGUAGGAACCAAAGCUCCUGGUGUGCUUUAUUUGUGGGAUUCAUUAUACAAGGGACUCAGCCACACCUAAAUUUGAAUCCAGCUUCAGUCCACUUUUGGAUUGAAAGAACCCACCAGCAAAGUGCCUAAUCNUUUUCUUUCCACAUGAUCUAACCCAAAAGGUGGNUUUUCUGAGUUAGAUAAUUCUGNAAGNAAGCAUCUUAGUUCUUCACUGAUGUGUUCUCUCAAAGUGGACCAACGCUGGAUUAAAACUUAGGUGUGACCUGUGCCGUAAGAGAAGAACCUAGCUCACGUACUGUGCAUUAAUGUGGAUUCUUUUUUCCUCAAGGACUUAAAACCAGCAAAGAUUCGAGGAUACACCGAGGCUUAGAUAGCCAUUCUAGGCUGACCUACAGUGGCUCUCGUGUCCAACUCUUGGUCUACAGAAGCCAAAGCAAAGCACUGAACCCGCAGUGCCCUCUGCGAGGUCUGGAUCCAGCAGAACAGAGAACCAAACAUUUCUGGACCCCAGAGAGGACUGUUAAUGUGACGUCAGCAGCCAGCAGGAAACAACUCGAGAGGAAGUAUCUGAGAUUCUGGAGGCACCGUGUUCUGCUGCGUCGCUUUCAGGAAUCCANAGAGACACGGCGUCUGGUGAGCGCAUGGCUAUCUUGGAAGGAGGCUUGCAUGACAGAGCUGGCAUCGCGAGCAUUGGUGAGUCCUGCGAUGACUUUGCUGUCAUACUGCCAGUUCUGGAGAACAGCUUGAAUCCAGAAACCACCCUCAGGUUUCUAGUCCUUAUGGAAGAUGCUUGGGAAUCCCAUGAACUGUGGGAACA